CUCAAUAUGAUCAUGAUUCGAUUACGAUUGAGGCUUUCAGUGCAUCACAGCAUGGAAUUGUCGUGUCUUGCUCUGCUGGGAAUGCAGGACCAGGUCCAUGUCCAUACACUGCUGUUAAUAUUGCUCCAUGGAUUCUUACUGUUGGUGCUUCAACAAUUGAUAGAGAGUUUCCCCACAAACAAAUUGCACAGAGGUUAAGCAACAUUCGAUAUUAGUGAUUCUCCAAGAAUAUAAAGAGUACAAAAACUUCUCUCAAGUGCUGAAAAUAAACAGAAAAUAGGUUAAAGUUUGGUUGAGGCAUUUUAUCGAACAUGUUGAAAUCUGAAUAAGAUUAAAGCUAAAAUGAAGAUCAAGCCAGAAAACUGGGGCAUAAAGCAGUGAACCUGGAGAAGUAAAAGGAAAAGCGAAGAAAGAAGCUUGAGAAUAUAUACCUGUUGUUGCUGCUUGGUUUGAUGACUUGAAGAAGAGAUCCUCAAACAUGGUUCUGCAUAAUUGUUUAAAAUCACGAUUUGGGCUUAGGGUCCCAGAAGAUCAUGCUCUCAAUUAGAAGCCAUUAGUAGAAAACAAGUUGUAACUGCGAGGACAAAAGAAAGCUUAAUUGUUCUGUAUUUGUGGCUUUGUGCGUUUUGAUUUG
This 634-nucleotide long non-coding RNA is filed under the name Populus tremula. RNAcentral's name for it is "long non-coding RNA (PTRE_LNC000706)". Lineage: Eukaryota; Viridiplantae; Streptophyta; Magnoliopsida; Malpighiales; Salicaceae. The record is from RNAcentral.